Molecule: ribosomal RNA, 385 nt
Filed under: uncultured bacterium
Lineage: Bacteria
Description: bacterial SSU rRNA
Rfam family: Bacterial small subunit ribosomal RNA
Source: RNAcentral
AUUGAACGCUGGCGGCAUGCCUUACACAUGCAAGUCGAACGGCAGCGGGCCUUCGGGUGCCGGCGAGUGGCGAACGGGUGAGUAAUGCAUCGGAACGUGCCAUUGAGUGGGGGAUAACGUAGCGAAAGUUACGCUAAUACCGCAUAUUCUGUGAGCAGGAAAGCAGGGGGACCGCAAGGCCUUGCGCUCUUUGAGCGGCCGAUGUCAGAUUAGCUAGUUGGUGAGGUAAAGGCUUACCAAGGCGACGAUCUGUAGCGGGUCUGAGAGGAUGAUCCGCCACACUGGAACUGAGACACGGUCCAGACUCCUACGGGAGACAGCAGUGGGGAAUUUUGGACAAUGGGCGCAAGCCUGAUCCAGCCAUGCCGCGUGAGUGAAGAAGGCC